GUGGAGAAGACCAAUGCGAUUUUUUACCGCGGACGUAUCUCCCAAUUCUGGCUAUGAAAAGACCAAUAAUCUUUGCAUCAGCAAGGAAAGACUAACAGGCUUACUGAAAUGGUACUCCACUGGGACAGGACAGGAGGGAGAAAAAUGUCUCGAGAUCCCUUCAGCUGGACAACAUCAAAGGAGAGGUGACAUUCAUCCAACAACAAGGUUCACAAAAUGCCCUAGUGCUCACUGGACAUGUCCCUGGAUUUAAACGUGAUGAUCUACAGCCCCUGCCUUCAGUUCACACUGCCACCAAGGUCAACCAAAGCUACAAAGAUGUUCUUCUUGGGACAGAGAAGAACUAUUGGACCAUCAAGCACCAACAAGAGUGGAGACUUGAAGAAAGCGACGCAUCUCUGAAUCUUACACUGACUCUGAGAGUGCCCAUAGACAGGUUGUGGGCGUGGAGAUGAACUUUUAAAUCUGUAAAUAUGUGGCAAGUACACAAGAGAAUACGUGAGUAAUGUGUGUGUGUGUGUGUGUGUGUGUGUGUGUGUGU
Molecule: long non-coding RNA, 541 nt
Organism: Engraulis encrasicolus (European anchovy)
Lineage: Eukaryota; Metazoa; Chordata; Actinopteri; Clupeiformes; Engraulidae
Exons: 3
Source: RefSeq, a predicted model, not a curated record